AAAACUUUUAACAACGGAUCUCUUGGUUCUGGCAUCGAUGAAGAACGCAGCGAAAUGCGAUAAGUAAUGUGAAUUGCAGAAUUCAGUGAAUCAUCGAAUCUUUGAACGCACAUUGCGCCCGCCAGCAUUCUGGCGGGCAUGCCUGUUCGAGCGUCAUCU
This 159-nucleotide ribosomal RNA is filed under the name Colletotrichum higginsianum. RNAcentral describes it as "5.8S ribosomal RNA". It matches the Rfam family "5.8S ribosomal RNA". From Rfam's summary of the family: 5.8S ribosomal RNA (5.8S rRNA) is a component of the large subunit of the eukaryotic ribosome. It is transcribed by RNA polymerase I as part of the 45S precursor that also contains 18S and 28S rRNA. The record is from RNAcentral. Lineage: Eukaryota; Fungi; Ascomycota; Sordariomycetes; Glomerellales; Glomerellaceae.